AUUGAACGCUGGCGGCAGGCCUAACACAUGCAAGUCGAACGCGUGGCGGACGGGUGAGUAAUGUCUGGGAAACUGCCUGAUGGAGGGGGAUAACUACUGUACACGGUAGCUAAUACCGCAUACCAUCGGAUGUGCCCAGAUGGGAUUAGCUAGUAGGGGGGGUAAAGGCUCACCUAGGCGAAGAUCCCUAGCUGGUCUGAGAGGAGGACCAGACACACUGGAACGGAGCAACGGGCCAGACUCCUACGGGAGGCAGCAGUGGGGAAGAGUGCACAAUGGGCGAAAUGCUGAGGCAGCAAUGCCGCGUGUAUGAAGAAGGCCUUCGGGUUGUAAAGUACUUUCAGCGGGGAGGCGUUACUCGCAGAAGAAGCACCGGCUAACUCCGUGCCAGCAGCCGCGGUAAUUC
Molecule: ribosomal RNA, 406 nt
Filed under: uncultured bacterium
Lineage: Bacteria
Description: partial 16S ribosomal RNA
Rfam family: Bacterial small subunit ribosomal RNA
Source: RNAcentral